Molecule: non-coding RNA, 135 nt
Organism: Triticum aestivum (bread wheat)
Lineage: Eukaryota; Viridiplantae; Streptophyta; Magnoliopsida; Poales; Poaceae
Source: Rfam
AAAGUACUCCCUCCGUCCGGAAAUACUUGUCAUCAAAAUAAAUAAAAUAAGAUGUAUCUAGACAUAUUCUAGUUCUAGGUACAUUCCAUUUUAUCCAUUUUGAUGACAAGUAUUUUCGGAUGGAGGGAGUACAAU